Molecule: transfer RNA, 77 nt
Filed under: Tissierellia bacterium
Lineage: Bacteria; Bacillati; Bacillota; Tissierellia
Description: tRNA-Arg
Rfam family: tRNA
About the family: Transfer RNA (tRNA) molecules are approximately 80 nucleotides in length. Their secondary structure includes four short double-helical elements and three loops (D, anti-codon, and T loops).
Source: RNAcentral
GCGGCUAUAGCUCAGUAGGAUAGAGCAAUGGACUUCUAAUCCAUGUGCCGGGAGUUCGAAUCUUCCUAGCCGCACCA